AUGAGCCCUUACAAUUGUGAAACGCAAAAUGUUUGGGAAACUACAUCUAUUUACACUACAGACUCCCUCAUUUGUAUAAUCGGAUGUAAAUGGGCGAUUGACCAGACCUCAUUACGCAUGCAUUGUAGUACAAGUUCUUAUUCCAAGCAGUGUCUAAAAAUUUGUCAAGCUGAAAUAGAAUCGCGUAAUCUUAGAUCAUAAAAUUUUUCUUUAAUAUUACUUUUCGUUUGUAUAUUUUUCAAUAUUUUUAUUGUAUUUUAUUUACUAAUCCUAUCUCUUUUUGAUCGCUUGCACCACCCCGCACUGUGUCGGGGGUAAGUAUGCUUUGCCCUACAUUUUAAAUUGAUAUGAGAACCUUCUCGUGCAGUGCCUUUCCCCGUCUCUUUUCCCUCCUAAUUGCUAUUGUUGUAACCCGCAAUCUCUUGAUUUCUUGGUUCUGAAAAUUCCCUAAAGUUUGAGCAGUUGCUUUGGAGAGCUUGCCUAAUUCUUUUUAGAGAGAGAAAAGACUUCUUAUCUACUCAGUUUUUACAUCAAGACAUAAUAAAAUAAAGAAAAGUAUAUAGUGAG
RNAcentral lists this long non-coding RNA (567 nucleotides) under Amborella trichopoda. Its description in RNAcentral is "long non-coding RNA (ATRI_LNC004731)". Lineage: Eukaryota; Viridiplantae; Streptophyta; Magnoliopsida; Amborellales; Amborellaceae. The record is from RNAcentral.